Non-coding RNA from Cinara cedri, 214 nucleotides. The record is from the annotation of a GenBank genome assembly. Lineage: Eukaryota; Metazoa; Arthropoda; Insecta; Hemiptera; Aphididae.
UGACGAUGUGUACGUUGGACAGAAAUGCAGAGGUUUGGCGAUGGCAGCGGCGGCUCUUAACGGGCCGACAAGCUGAACAACAAGACAGACGGAUACUAUUACUAUAGCACCUGUCGCCAUGCUUUUGUCCACUGCGUCAUUUUUCUGAUUCGACCACUGACUUAUCGGUUUUCGGUUACGGUCGCGGCAUAUGUAAUAUCCGACGAGAAAUGAU